CAGAGAGAGAACUGAGAGAAGCAGCAGAGAAAGGACAGGGGUAGGUGAAAGAGUUGCAAAAUUAGGGUUGUAACUUGUGAUUGUUAGGUUUUAUAUUGAUUCAGAAAAAUUGGAAACUGGGCCAAGCAAAAGAAAACGUGUAAACAAUUAAAAAAAAACUGUCCAGUCGUCUACCGUACCGCGAACAGUACCGCAACAGUAUCGCUACAAUACCGAA
This 217-nucleotide long non-coding RNA is filed under the name Trifolium pratense (red clover). RNAcentral describes it as "long non-coding RNA (TPRA_LNC011452)". Lineage: Eukaryota; Viridiplantae; Streptophyta; Magnoliopsida; Fabales; Fabaceae. The record is from RNAcentral.